This is a long non-coding RNA of Puntigrus tetrazona (Sumatra barb), 885 nucleotides long. RefSeq lists it as uncharacterized. NCBI's taxonomy places the organism in Eukaryota, Metazoa, Chordata, Actinopteri, Cypriniformes, Cyprinidae. The transcript has 3 exons. The record is from RefSeq and is a predicted model, not a curated record.
CCAGGCGCUAAUAUUAGACUCAACUAUAAAGCCAUACAUCAAAGCCUCCAAGAUGCCCUCGCUCUAGCCCCUCACUCAAGUCCCUCACGCAUCGCUUUUGGUAAGAAGUCCACACAAAUACUACGAUCGUCACACGUUAAGAGUAUAAACACACCCAGAAUGAUACCGCUCGUUGUUCAUCGUGGCUGAUUGUGUUUCUUGCGCUGAACUUCCCCAAUAGAUUGUGGAUCAGAGUUUAACCUGUACAUGAAAACCAACAUGGCAUACAGUUGCAGAAAGCUCCGUGGAUUGUGUUUACUGACAGAGGUUUCUGGAAGUAUCCCUUGGCUUAUUUAGUAAUCAUGUGAUGAGUGUCGUUGAAGAAUGUGGGCAUCCAACAAAGAUCUUUCAGAUUUCUCCAGUUUCUCUGAAUGUUUUGAUGAUGUUAUGCAAUACAGAUCAUGAUAUUAGCUAAGCCUUUGCGAUUUGACAUUGAGGAACAUGGUUUUUAAAGUAUAUCACAAUCUUUUUACACACUCUUUCACAGAUUGGAGAGCAUCUGCCCAUCUUUUCUUCAAAGAGACGCUCUUCUUUUAUAGUUUAUCAUGUUACAGACUUGAUGUCAAAUAACUUAGAUGUUAUUGCUAGAUGUUCUCCCAGCUGAAUCUUUUCAAAUUUCUUGGUUUUUUUUUCAAAUAAAAAAACUGGUUUUAAAUAAAACAUAGUAGGCCUGUAGUAGGCCUGCAAUGGUAAAAAAUCUAAAGCUGACAUAUCAAAUGUUUUGGUGGGCCGUCCCUAAAUGAUCAUUAUCACCAUUAUUACCAUGGAAAAAGUUUUUUUGUGUGUAGCAACCAUCCUACAGUGCAUAUUUAGAGCUGUUAAAUAUUAAACUGUCACAAAUGAAAA